UACGUAGGUGGCAAGCGUUGUCCGGAAUUAUUGGGCGUAAAGCGCGCGCAGGCGGUCCUUUAAGUCUGAUGUGAAAGCCCACGGCUCAACCGUGGAGGGUCAUUGGAAACUGGGGGACUUGAGUGCAGAAGAGGAAAUCGGAAUUCCACGUGUAGCGGUGAAAUGCGUAGAGAUGUGGAGGAACACCAGUGGCGAAGGCGGCUCUCUGGUCUGUAACUGACGCUGAGGCGCGAAAGCGUGGGGAGCAAACAGG
RNAcentral lists this ribosomal RNA (253 nucleotides) under uncultured bacterium. Its description in RNAcentral is "partial 16S ribosomal RNA". It matches the Rfam family "Bacterial small subunit ribosomal RNA", at positions 524 to 776 of the family's 1533-position model. The record is from RNAcentral.